CAACCCUCAAGCCCCAGUUGCUUGGUGUUGGGAGCUUGCCCCUACGCAACUCCUGAAAGCUAUUGGCGGAGCCGCGUUGGCCCUAAGCGUAGUAAUUUUUCUCUCGCUUCAGGUGUCCCAGUGCUGGCGUCCUGCCGUAAAACCCCCAAUUUUACAAU
RNAcentral lists this unclassified non-coding RNA (158 nucleotides) under uncultured Diatrypaceae. RNAcentral's name for it is "sequence contains ITS2". Lineage: Eukaryota; Fungi; Ascomycota; Sordariomycetes; Xylariales; Diatrypaceae. The record is from RNAcentral.